AAUUGGAGGGCAAGUCUGGUGCCAGCAGCCGCGGUAAUUCCAGCUCCAAUAGCGUAUAUUAAAGUUGUUGCAGUUAAAAAGCUCGUAGUUGAAUUUCGGGGUUAGUAGGUUGGUCAUGCCUCUGGUAUGUACUGAUCUCACUGAUUCCUCCUUCCUUAUGAACCGUAAUGCCAUUAAUUUGGUGUCGCGGGGAAUUUGGACUGUUACUUUGAAAAAAUUAGAGUGUUUAAAGCAGGCUAACGCUUGAAUACAUUAGCAUGGAAUAAUGAAAUAGGACGUUCGAUCUUAUUUUGUUGGUUUCUAGGAUUGACGUAAUGAUUAAUAGGGAUAGUUGGGGGCAUUAGUAUUCAAUUGUCAGAGGUGAAAUUCUUGGAUUUAUUGAAGACUAACUACUGCGAAAGCAUUUGCCAAGGAUGUUUUCAUUAAUCAAGAACGAAAGUUAGGGGAUCGAAGACGAUCAGAUACCGUCGUAGUCUUAACCAUAAACUAUGCCGACUAGGGAUCGGAUGAUGUUAAUUUUUUAAUGACUCAUUCGGCGCCUUACGGGAAACCAAAGUGU
Molecule: ribosomal RNA, 559 nt
Filed under: uncultured Glomus
Lineage: Eukaryota; Fungi; Glomeromycota; Glomeromycetes; Glomerales; Glomeraceae
Description: SSU rRNA
Rfam family: Eukaryotic small subunit ribosomal RNA
Source: RNAcentral